GACGAACGCUGGCGGCGUGCUUAACACAUGCAAGUCGAACGAUGAAGCGCUGUCUUUUUGGUGGUGUGGAUUAGUGGCGAACGGGUGAGUAAUACGCGGGCAACCUGCCCCUCUGCUUCGGGAUAAGCUUUGGAAACGGGGUCUAAUACCGGAUGUGCCUGUCUGGUCGCAUGGCUGGGCGGGGAAAGAUGUUUUUCGGCGGGGGAUGGCUCGCGGCCUAUCAGCUUGUUGGUGGGGUGCGGCUACCAAGCGUCGACGGUAGCGGCCUGAGAGGGUGGCGGCCCAUAGGCUGAGUACGGCAGGACUCUACGGAGGGAGAGUGGGGAUUUGGACAAUGGGCGAAGCUGAUGCGCGACCCCCCGGGGGAUGGGCUUCGGUUGUAACCCUUUGGGGGGGAAAGGUCCGUUGGGGGUUGAGGGUCGCGUCAAGAAGCGCCGCUAACUACGUCCAGCGCCCCGGUAAUACGGAGGGGGCGGGCCUUGUCCCGAAAUUAUUGGGCGUAAAGGGCUCGAGGCGGCUUGUCCCCUCUGCUGUGAAAAACCCGGGGCUCAACUCCCCCCCUUCAGGGGGUACGGGCCGGGCUUGGAUCCGGCAGGGGGGGCUUGAAUUCCUGGGGUAGCGGGGGAAUGCGCGAUUUUCAGGAAGAACACCGUGGCGAAGGCAGGCCACUGGGCCCGCCCUGACCUGGGGGGAAAGCGUGGGGGGGCAAAAGGGUUUAAAACCUGGGAGGCCAAGGGCGAAUUCCCAUUGGGUUCACGCGGGGGAUCCCCUAGUCCUAGAGGGGCCGCCCCGGGAACCUCCAAUUCCCCUAUAGUGGGCGAUAAGCGGGUCAUUGGCCAUAUUUAAACUUCGUGACUGUAAAAACCUGGGU
RNAcentral lists this ribosomal RNA (871 nucleotides) under uncultured Streptococcus sp. Its description in RNAcentral is "partial 16S ribosomal RNA". It matches the Rfam family "Bacterial small subunit ribosomal RNA". Lineage: Bacteria; Bacillati; Bacillota; Bacilli; Lactobacillales; Streptococcaceae. The record is from RNAcentral.